This 822-nucleotide ribosomal RNA is filed under the name uncultured bacterium. RNAcentral describes it as "bacterial SSU rRNA". It matches the Rfam family "Bacterial small subunit ribosomal RNA", at positions 8 to 854 of the family's 1533-position model. The record is from RNAcentral.
AGAGUUUGAUCAUGGCUCAGGAUGAAUGCUGGCGGCGUGCCUAACACAUGCAAGUCGAGCGGCAGCGCAAAGUAGUUUACUACUUGGCGGCGAGCGGCGAACGGUUGAGUAAUGCGUGGGAACGUACCCCAAAGUGAGGAAUAACCGCUCGAAAGGGUGGCUAAUGCCGCAUAUGGUCUUCGGAUUAAAGGAUUUAUCUGCUUUGGGAACGGCCUGCGUACGAUUAGAUAGUUGGUGAGGUAAAGGCUUACCAAGUCUACGAUCGUUAACUGGUCUGAGAGGAUGAUCAGUCAGACUGGAACUGAGACACGGUCCAGACUCCUACGGGAGGCAGCAGUGAGGAAUCUUCCACAAUGGGCGAAAGCCUGAUGGAGCAACGCCGCGUGCAGGAUGAAGGCCUUCGGGUCGUAAACUGCUUUUAUAAGUGAAGAAUAUGACGGUAACUUAUGAAUAAGCACCGGCUAACUACGUGCCAGCAGCCGCGGUCAUACGUAGGGUGCAAGCAUUAUCCGGAGUGACUGGGCGUAAAGAGUUGCGUAGGUGGUUUGUUAAGUGAAUAGUGAAAUCUGGUGGCUUAACCACACAGACUAUUAUUCAAACUGGCAAACUCGAGAAUAGCAGAGGUAACUGGAAUUUCUAGUGUAGGAGUGAAAUCCGUAGAUAUUAGAAAGAACACCAAUGGCGUAGCAGGUUACUGGGCUAUUCCUGACACUGAGCACGAAAGCGUGGGGAGCGAACCGGAUUAGAUACCCGGGUAGUCCACGCCGUAAACGAUGGAUACUAGCUGUUUGGAGGUAUCGACCCCUUUCAGUAGCGAAGCUA